Molecule: ribosomal RNA, 271 nt
Filed under: uncultured archaeon
Lineage: Archaea
Description: partial 16S ribosomal RNA
Rfam family: Archaeal small subunit ribosomal RNA
Source: RNAcentral
CAGCGCCACAAGUGGCAACCAGUAUUAUUGGGCCUAAAGCGUCCGUAGCCGGUCGGAUAAAUCUUUUGUGAAAUUGUUGAGCUCAACUUAACAACGUGCAGAAGACACUGUUCGACUUGGGACCGGGAGGAGUUAGAGGUAUUUCUGGGGGAGCGGUAAAAUGCAAUAAUCCCAGGAGGACCACCUAUGGCGAAGGCAUCUAACCAGAACGGAUCCGACGGUGAGGGACGAAAGCCAGGGGAGCAAACCGGAUUAGAUACCCGAGUAGUCC